CACUGAGAAGCUAAAUUUAGCGUUAACCUUUUAAGUUAAAGAUUGAGAACUUAUAACUUCUCCUCAAUG
Molecule: transfer RNA, 69 nt
Filed under: Rhynchocyon petersi (black and rufous elephant shrew)
Lineage: Eukaryota; Metazoa; Chordata; Mammalia; Macroscelidea; Macroscelididae
Also listed under: 2 other names
Description: tRNA-Lys
Source: RNAcentral